AAAUUUCUGCGUCGUGGGAUGGGU
RNAcentral lists this microRNA (24 nucleotides) under Zea mays. RNAcentral's name for it is "microRNA miR-3145". Lineage: Eukaryota; Viridiplantae; Streptophyta; Magnoliopsida; Poales; Poaceae. The record is from RNAcentral.